Molecule: long non-coding RNA, 790 nt
Organism: Phyllostomus discolor (pale spear-nosed bat)
Lineage: Eukaryota; Metazoa; Chordata; Mammalia; Chiroptera; Phyllostomidae
Exons: 2
Source: RefSeq, a predicted model, not a curated record
GGUUUAGAUGAGGUCAUGAAGGUGGAGACCCCAUGAUGGGAUUAGUGCCCUUAUGAGAAGAGAUGCCAGAGAGCUUGAUUCCUCUCUGCUCUGCCAGCGGAGGACACAAAAAGAAGCAGGAAGUCUGCAAGCCAAGAAGAGGGCCCUUAACGGGAACUGAGUCUGCCAGCACAUUGAUCUUGGACUUCUCAGUCUCUAGAAUUGGGAGAAGUAGAUUUAUGUUGUUUAAGCCACCCAGCGUACAGUAUUUAGUUAUAGCAGCCUGAACUUACCCCAAAGACAGUGGGCACUCCUUAAAUGGGAGGAUAGUAACUCUAAACUGGGGCCGUUGUGAGUCUUCAAUCAGGUAACGGGUGUGCAUGCGAGCUGUAUACAAAGACCCUUACUGUUGGUCUUACUGCUGAAAAAUAACUCAGAGAUAGGAAUUUGAAAUUCAUUCAUCCAUUUAUUUCACAAUUAGUUCUGAGCCCAGGUAUGUGCUGUAUUCAGGGUUCACGGUUCUGCAGAUACAGACAGCAGUGAAUAAGCCAAGUCCCUGUCUUUCUGGAGCUUGGGAGUUCUCAGAAGAUCAGAUUUCUUUUUGUUUUUUUUUUCACGCUUUGUUCCAAUUUCACUAAAGAGUGGUUUUCAGGAAAGUGCAACCUUAUACACGGCAGAGGGGUGGCACAGAGUGUUAUGACGGAGGGGUGAGCAUGCCUGUCAGUGAGGUAAAAUGCAGGAACUAAUGGAAUCUACCUUGCUGGGCUAUUGUGAAGAUAAUCUAUGUAAAGCACUUGGCGUCAGUCAGAGG